CCGACCUUAGCUCAGUUGGUAGAGCGGAGGACUGUAGUUGAUGAUAUCAGAUAAUCCUUAGGUCGCUGGUUCGAAUCCGGCAGGUCGGA
Molecule: transfer RNA, 89 nt
Filed under: Zostera marina
Lineage: Eukaryota; Viridiplantae; Streptophyta; Magnoliopsida; Alismatales; Zosteraceae
Rfam family: tRNA
About the family: Transfer RNA (tRNA) molecules are approximately 80 nucleotides in length. Their secondary structure includes four short double-helical elements and three loops (D, anti-codon, and T loops).
Source: Rfam by way of RNAcentral